UGCACUUGUGCUUGUUUUUGUUCAGUUUUGUGGACAAAGACUUAGACCUAAGUGCAGAAAAUAAAUCCUCUUUUGCAACCCAGAACUCAUGGCUCAAUAUGAGUUUUGAUACAUGUAAGAAGGAACAAG
Panthera leo (lion) is the source of this 129-nucleotide small nucleolar RNA. NCBI's taxonomy places the organism in Eukaryota, Metazoa, Chordata, Mammalia, Carnivora, Felidae. The record is from Ensembl.